Molecule: long non-coding RNA, 708 nt
Filed under: Equus caballus (horse)
Lineage: Eukaryota; Metazoa; Chordata; Mammalia; Perissodactyla; Equidae
Description: lncRNA (ENSECAG00000045397.1)
Source: RNAcentral
CUUGCACAGGUGAGGCAGAACUUGAGGCCCAAGGUCCUAGGAUCCUUUCCAGAGGCUCCUAUAGAUUCUUUUUUUCAUCAAGGCAAGAUGCUUCCUCAGACAUGCUUCCUCAGUGCACCAGGCAGAAACUGGAAAAAGAUUACAAUUCAACAUGGCAAAUGCUAAAACAGAGCUCCAGAAGCCAUGCCUAUAAUACACACAAGACUUUGUUUCAAAUCAGUUUUUCAGUUGAGGAGGAAUUCAAACUCAGGAAAAGAAGAGGAAUUUACAUUUGACCACAAAGACCGGAGAGGUCUUUGCACACGUUUCUUAAGGGAAAGACAUUUAGGAACUUGGAAACGUUUAUGCCCUAUAAUCAUAGAAUGUGAGGAGCAGCCAGGCGUCUCUGAGGCCAGCAAGGUUAAUGACAUGAUUUUGGAGAUGAGAAAAUUGAGGCCAGAGAAAUCAAAUGACUCAUCCACAUCUGGGACAGGCCAAAGCAGGCACAGGGAUAAAGAACAACUGUUGAGAGAUGGAACUUGCAGCCCAGAUCCUUGGCCGGAGCGUCCCAGCGCUCUGCUUCAUCCAGUCCCAGCUGAUCAGAGUUUCAGCAAAGAGAGAACAUGCUUUCUUAACGGUACACAUGUUCGCUGAGAGUGGAGGAGGGGGGAUGAAGGAGAAGCAAGUUUUCCAUCUGAAAAGAACAUGAGCAUCUGCCUAGCAAUGAAC